ACUGAAAUUGCAACUCAGGAAACAGGCAGAGGAGCAUGAGACAGCGCAGAAGUCUUCAGGAGAAAAGGUAUGCUUGUUAAAGUAAAAGAUGCUCUGCUGUUCAGUUUGUAUAUCACUAGUUAAAUUCUACCUCUCUGUACAGGUUAGCACACUGUCCACCUGUGAUGAAGAUCUUAGAUCAUCUCCUACCCAAGAUGAUGACAUUCUUUCCCUCGCUCAGGAAGAUCUUGUCCAAGCCCUGAAUCACGAAAACCGGGCCUUGGCAGAUCGGAUCGAGGAGCUGUUGGCUCACAUUGAUUCCAGAGAGGAGGAAAUCACAAAGGAGCAAGCGGAGCUGAGGAGAAACAUCUCCAGACUAGAAGAAGACCAUGUUAGGCUGGAGCAGGGAAACCAGGAACAGGCGUGCUUGAUCUCAGAACUCACAAAGAAAACUGAGGAUGAUCUGAACACUAUUAUGGAGCUGCAACAAAAGUUAACGGAGAGUAGAGAUAGUAAGGAUGAAUCACAUGUUAGUAAGCAGCACUGGGAAAGUGAGAACGCAGCUUCAAUAUCACUGCAGAACAACCUGGAGGAAUCUGUGGAUCAUGUAGUUGCAAGUGUCCUUAAAGGAGAAGAAAACACAAAGUUACUGUCAAGUCAAGAAACAAACGUUUUGACCACAGUUUCAGGAUCUGGUACUCAGACCAGUGACCCCUUAACGAUCAGUCCACAAAACAGCCUGCAUGCCAGUCAACUGGCAGACCAAGUGGCCCAGCUAACACACUCAGUCCAGAUGCUCAAAGCAGAACAAAACGAGCUGACAGGCUACAUAAAUUCACUCAGAGAGCAGCAGAAAGAAGUCGCUCUGUCAGUCCAUACACAGACAGAAGAGAAACAGCAGUUAACUCGGACAGUUUGGGGACUGAAGGAGGAGAAAGACCGCAUCUGUCAAUCUUUAGCUGUCCUUAAGCAAGAGAGAGAGCAGCAAAGUCGGACAGUCUGGGGGCUGAAAGAUGAGAGAGAGCAGUUUAUAAAGUCCGUGAGUGGCCUAAAAGAGGAGAAAGAGCAGCUGGUGAUGUCUUUAUCUGUUCUUGAAAGAGACAAAGAGGCAAUAACAGAAUCUGUCACAACUGGAAAAGAAGAGAGAGAUCGAAUCAUGCAGUCACUGAAAAGCUUACAGAUAGAGAGCCAGCAGUUGAGCCAGGAAGUGCUUCAUUUGAAACAAGAGAGAGACAAACUAUCUGAUUCCCUCCAAAGUCUGAAAACACAGAGAGACAUGGAACCAAUAUCUUUCUCUUCAAAAGAAGACCAGGACAGGUUGAUGGACUCUGUGAGCAGUUUAAAAGAAGAAAAAGAAAGAACUAAACAUUCAAUUAGCUGUCUGAAACAAGAGGAGAAGCAGCUAACACUCAUAAUCCAGGGUCUGAGAGAGGAGAGGAGCAGUUUACAAGCUCUGCAAAUGCAGACAGAGAGGAGUCAGAGGCAGCAGCUGCUAAGCCCAAGCUGCCCUGGGCUGAUGAAGAAGACUGAGACACUUGCUGGGACAGGAGAUUACACUACACAAAGAUGUCAGACUAAUAACCACAAAGGAAGCUUUGUACAGGAGCAAAGUGAUCUGAUGAGGGAGAUUGAAGCUUUGGGAGCAGAACUGAAGAGCUCACAGGAAGAGCUGGACAAAAGCCGUGCAGAGACCAAGAGGUUGCAGAGUGAAUUGUCUCAGUCAGAGGUCAGGAGGGAGGAGGCAGAGAGAGAGGCGCUGAGGCUGACAGAAGCAGGUCAUCUGACGGAAGAAACCAGGAAGGACAAUGACAGCCUCACAAACCAGGUAUUUAUCCAGAUAUGCAGUUAUGUAUAUGCUGA
Parambassis ranga (Indian glassy fish) is the source of this 1839-nucleotide long non-coding RNA. The record is from Ensembl. NCBI's taxonomy places the organism in Eukaryota, Metazoa, Chordata, Actinopteri, Ambassidae.